UUACAAAACCAUUUACAUACAUCCUGUAAAACUCAAAACCACCUUUUGCUCCUCAUUAUCCCACACGAUUACACUAGAGGGAGAGAGAGUGGACGAGAUGAGUGAAUCGGCACACUAGGGUUCCGGCGGGUGGUAGUCGUCCGGUCAUCUCUGUUGACGUCGUACUCCGACAACUCAACCAGAAACGGUGAUGAGUAUAGAGAUUCCGACAGUGGUUCACAUAAGAUGGAAUUGUUUACAACCGCAAUUGGCUCCUAGAAACAGUUUGCUUAUGAUUCUCACAAAAAUUUCUACGCGACUCUUCCAAAGUUCAAACUCAUCUCAAACAGUAUACCAGAUCAAUCACACGCAGUGAAUACAUGUACGAUUCGCUGAUGAAUCGAAAAGGUAACCAAUGGUGUUGAGGUUCACCCCUUGGGUUUCUUCACCAAUUGUGGAAAGAUUCGGUUUUACUGCUAGGACAUAGCUGGACAGACUGAAUAUUAGUUAACUCGAUCAUAAAGCAAGCUGAAUUAUCUGCAACAUUCAUGGUCAAUGUGCCAUUAUAUUUUUGAUGGAACUUCAAGAUUGACAUACAAGAAUGUUCUCUCAUGGCAUCGUGAUCAUUGUCGUGUGUGUGGAAACAAGGUUGAUGUAAAGGACUGUUAAGUGAAGGCAAACAGGUUACUUUCCAUAAAAUAAUCUGCAGUAUUAUGAGAUCUCAGCCAAGAGCAAUUCAACUUUGAGAAGCCCUUUCUUUAUCUCGCCACGAAACUUGCUGGGGACCUCAACUUGCAUUUUGUGGAGUCUCAUAUGCUAGCUAGCUCUUCUAAUGGUGCGACUAGACAUGUUCGUUGAAUAAUAACGAAAGGCUUAAUGACAUCGUUGGAAGUGCAUACUAGGUGGCGCCAGAAGUUCUACGUAGAAUAUCUAUUCUUUUAUGUGGAAGUAGGCCCUUUUGCGCCUAAACUAAAUCCGGUUUUCCCGGUUGUUUUAAAACGUUUGAUGAAGUAUCUUGGCCUACAUUAUCCUCUGAGGCCAAAGAUUUCUUAAACGUUUAUUAUUAAACAAGAAUCCUAUAAAGAAUGACGGCUGCUGAAGCAUUGAGUUAUUCUUUCCAUUUGUUGUAUAGUGCUAAUGCUAAUUUAGUUUGGAUUACUUUGAACUAAAUAGAAUGAAAUAUUUGUAGGUCAUCCAUGGAUUAGAAAUGCAAAUGAUUUGAAAGUGCCACUCGAUGUCUCAGUAUUGAGACACAUGAACAAUUAUAUGCGUUCUUCUGCUCUUCAUAAAGCUACUAUACAGAUAAACAAAAACGAACGUUAGGAAUGAUAGGAAGGGGAAACACCGUUUGUGCAGUUGCCAGCUGGGAAAGAACCAUAACUGGAAGCCGUAGUCCAAUAAGCCACAUUGCAUAGGAAAAUGCCUUUUAUCAAGUUAUGUUAGCUAACAUGCUCCAUGUUAGGCACGUAACAUGUGAAUUAAACAUAGAUACUAACUUUUUUUUGCAUCUGCUUAUGUAACUAUAUCGAUUCGACUCAAUGACAACCAGCUGAAGGGAGAUAUAAAUCUAGCCCCUGCCGCAUCGCGGCGGGUUACACUUCUAGUUA
Long non-coding RNA from Helianthus annuus (common sunflower), 1586 nucleotides. RefSeq lists it as uncharacterized. The transcript is spliced from 8 exons. Lineage: Eukaryota; Viridiplantae; Streptophyta; Magnoliopsida; Asterales; Asteraceae. The record is from RefSeq and is a predicted model, not a curated record.